GAUGAACGCUGGCGGCGUGCCUAAUACAUGCAAGUCGAGCGAACAGACGAGGAGCUUGCUCCUCUGACGUUAGCGGCGGACGGGUGAGUAACACGUGGAUAACCUACCUAUAAGACUGGGAUAACUUCGGGAAACCGGAGCUAAUACCGGAUAAUAUAUUGAACCGCAUGGUUCAAUAGUGAAAGACGGUUUUGCUGUCACUUAUAGAUGGAUCCGCGCCGCAUUAGCUAGUUGGUAAGGUAACGGCUUACCAAGGCAACGAUGCGUAGCCGACCUGAGAGGGUGAUCGGUCACACUGGAACUGAGACACGGUCCAGACUCCUACGGGAGGCAGCAGUAGGGAAUCUUCCGCAAUGGGCGAAAGCCUGACGGAGCAACGCCGCGUGAGUGAUGAAGUUCUUCGGAUCGUAAAACUCUGUUAUUAGGGAAGAACAAAUGUGUAAGUAACUAUGCACGUCUUGACGGUACCUAAUCAGAAAGCCACGGCUAACUACGUG
This 497-nucleotide ribosomal RNA is filed under the name uncultured bacterium. Its description in RNAcentral is "partial 16S ribosomal RNA". It matches the Rfam family "Bacterial small subunit ribosomal RNA", at positions 28 to 507 of the family's 1533-position model. The record is from RNAcentral.